RNAcentral lists this unclassified non-coding RNA (678 nucleotides) under Hevea brasiliensis (rubber tree). The record is from RNAcentral. Lineage: Eukaryota; Viridiplantae; Streptophyta; Magnoliopsida; Malpighiales; Euphorbiaceae.
UGGAAUAUUCACAUUUAUUUGAUUUUUAAUAUUUUUCUUUUAUUUUUGCACCUUGCCUCGUUCAGGCAUGUGCUUUGAACCUUUAAUAACUAUGCUUGAAGGAAGAUGAAAUAUAUAGCAUAUUGAAGCAACUUCAUUAUUUCAGACACAAAUAAUUGAGUUGGAAAAUUUUAAGGAACCUAUUCUUGCGAAAGAAGCUGAUGAAAAUAAGCAAGAAGAUUUAAGGAAUCAAUCCUAGGAAAAGAAGAAAAACAAACCAUUGAGAAGACAAUGGAAAUUAAAAAUUUAUCUAAUUCUUUUGUUCCUGAUAAAUUGAAAAGCCUUUCAAUUGCAGAUGUAGUUGAUUUUAUAUGUUCAGAUGUUUUUAGGUAUGUAAAGGAAGCAUGAAGUUCUUUGUUUCAAUCUUAUUGUUACUAUCCAAGAAAAUAAGAUUGCAUGUUCUCUAAAUUCAGCUCAUGAUUCUUCUACACAACAAAACUUGAGAUCAAGUUUUCUCCAACCAGAGGAGAAUAUGAUGCAGUCAAAGAGGACUAGAUUUAGGAAUUAUUUCAGCUUAAUUUUUCAUUGUAAAGUUAAGAAGUUUUAGAUUUCUAUUAUUUAGGUUAGGAUUUAAAGUUCUAUUACAUUUAGUCUUUUCCUAGUUAGUGUUGAUUCAUAUUCCUAGUUAGAUUGGUUUAG